UACGGGGGGGCAAGCGUUGUUCGGAAUUACUGGGCGUAAAGGGCGCGUAGGCGGCCUUCUAAGUCGGACGUGAAAUCCCUCGGCUUAACCGAGGAACUGCGUCCGAUACUGGAAGGCUUGAAUCCGGGAGAGGGAUGUGGAAUUCCAGGUGUAGCGGUGAAAUGCGUAGAUAUCUGGAGGAACACCGGUGGCGAAGGCGGCAUCCUGGACCGGCAUUGACGCUGAGGCGCGAAAGCUAGGGGAGCAAACAGG
This 252-nucleotide ribosomal RNA is filed under the name uncultured bacterium. Its description in RNAcentral is "partial 16S ribosomal RNA". It matches the Rfam family "Bacterial small subunit ribosomal RNA", at positions 524 to 776 of the family's 1533-position model. The record is from RNAcentral.